GUCGAACGCUGGCGGCGUGCUUAACACAUGCAAGUCGAACGGAAAGGCCCUGCUUGCAGGGUACUCGAGUGGCGAACGGGUGAGUAACACGUGGGUGAUCUGCCCUGCACGUCGGGAUAAGCCUGGGAAACGGGGUCUAAUACCGGUUAGGAGUCAGUGUUAGUGUGAUGGUUGGAAAGUUUUUUCGGUGUAGGAUGAGCUGGCGGCCUAUCAGCUUGUUGGUGGGGUAAUGGCCUACCAAGGCGGCGACGGGUAGCUGGCCUGAGAGGGUGGACGGCGACACUGGGACUGAGAGACGGCCCAGACUCCUACGGGAGGCAGAAGUGGGGAAUAUUGCACCAUGGGCGCAAGCCUGAUGCAGAGACGCCGCGUGGGGGAUGACAGCCUUAGGGUUGAAAACUCCCUUCGAUAGGGACGCAGCUUUUUGUGACGUUACCUAGAUAAGAAGCACCGGCUAACUACGUG
This 465-nucleotide ribosomal RNA is filed under the name uncultured bacterium. RNAcentral's name for it is "partial 16S ribosomal RNA". It matches the Rfam family "Bacterial small subunit ribosomal RNA", at positions 28 to 507 of the family's 1533-position model. The record is from RNAcentral.